GUUAAGCGACUAAGCGUACACGGUGGAUGCCCUGGCAGUCAGAGGCGAUGAAGGACGUGCUAAUCUGCGAUAAGCGUCGGUAAGGUGAUAUGAACCGUUAUAACCGGCGAUUUCCGAAUGGGGAAACCCAGUGUGUUUCGACACACUAUCAUUAACUGAAUCCAUAGGUUAAUGAGGCGAACCGGGGGAACUGAAACAUCUAAGUACCCCGAGGAAAAGAAAUCAACCGAGAUUCCCCCAGUAGCGGCGAGCGAACGGGGAGCAGCCCAGAGCCUGAAUCAGUGUGUGUGUUAGUGGAAGCGUCUGGAAAGGCGCGCGAUACAGGGUGACAGCCCCGUACACAAAAAUGCACAUGCUGUGAGCUCGAUGAGUAGGGCGGGACACGUGGUAUCCUGUCUGAAUAUGGGGGGACCAUCCUCCAAGGCUAAAUACUCCUGACUGACCGAUAGUGAACCAGUACCGUGAGGGAAAGGCGAAAAGAACCCCGGCGAGGGGAGUGAAAAAGAACCUGAAACCGUGUACGUACAAGCAGUGGGAGCACGCUUCGGCGUGUGACUGCGUACCUUUUGUAUAAUGGGUCAGCGACUUAUAUUCUGUAGCAAGGUUAACCGAAUAGGGGAGCCGAAGGGAAACCGAGUCUUAACUGGGCGUUAAGUUGCAGGGUAUAGACCCGAAACCCGGUGAUCUAGCCAUGGGCAGGUUGAAGGUUGGGUAACACUAACUGGAGGACCGAACCGACUAAUGUUGAAAAAUUAGCGGAUGACUUGUGGCUGGGGGUGAAAGGCCAAUCAAACCGGGAGAUAGCUGGUUCUCCCCGAAAGCUAUUUAGGUAGCGCCUCGUGAAUUCAUCUCCGGGGGUAGAGCACUGUUUCGGCAAGGGGGUCAUCCCGACUUACCAACCCGAUGCAAACUGCGAAUACCGGAGAAUGUUAUCACGGGAGACACACGGCGGGUGCUAACGUCCGUCGUGAAGAGGGAAACAACCCAGACCGCCAGCUAAGGUCCCAAAGUCAUGGUUAAGUGGGAAACGAUGUGGGAAGGCCCAGACAGCCAGGAUGUUGGCUUAGAAGCAGCCAUCAUUUAAAGAAAGCGUAAUAGCUCACUGGUCGAGUCGGCCUGCGCGGAAGAUGUAACGGGGCUAAACCAUGCAC
Molecule: ribosomal RNA, 1151 nt
Filed under: Escherichia coli
Lineage: Bacteria; Pseudomonadati; Pseudomonadota; Gammaproteobacteria; Enterobacterales; Enterobacteriaceae
Description: partial 23S ribosomal RNA
Rfam family: Bacterial large subunit ribosomal RNA
Source: RNAcentral